Molecule: ribosomal RNA, 449 nt
Filed under: uncultured bacterium
Lineage: Bacteria
Description: bacterial SSU rRNA
Rfam family: Bacterial small subunit ribosomal RNA
Source: RNAcentral
AACGAACGCUGGCGGCAUGCCUAACACAUGCAAGUCGAACGAGACCUUCGGGUCUAGUGGCGCACGGGUGCGUAACGCGUGGGAAUCUGCCCUUUGCUUCGGAAUAACAGUUAGAAAUGACUGCUAAUACCGGAUGAUGUCUUCGGACCAAAGAUUUAUCGGCAAAGGAUGAGCCCGCGUAGGAUUAGGUAGUUGGUGGGGUAAAGGCCUACCAAGCCGACGAUCCUUAGCUGGUCUGAGAGGAUGAUCAGCCACACUGGGACUGAGACACGGCCCAGACUCCUACGGGAGGCAGCAGUGGGGAAUAUUGGACAAUGGCGAAAGCCUGAUCCAGCAAUGCCGCGUGAGUGAUGAAGGCCUUCGGGUCGUAAAGCUCUUUUACCAGGGAUGAUAAUGACAGUACCUGGAGAAUAAGCUCCGGCUAACUCCGUGCCAGCAGCCGCGGUAAU